Molecule: long non-coding RNA, 1920 nt
Organism: Anas platyrhynchos (mallard)
Lineage: Eukaryota; Metazoa; Chordata; Aves; Anseriformes; Anatidae
Source: RefSeq, a predicted model, not a curated record
AGCUUCUUCCUGGGCUGUUCUGUAAGAGUGUGGACCUUCAGUCUGGCUCCUAGAAGCUCUUAGGCUGCCAUCUGGGUUGGCUGGUGCGCAUCCUGGUGCCUGCUGGAGGGCUGCUGAGACCCCUUGCUGCACCCAGCAGUGAGUUCCCUGGAUCUGCUUGCUCUGCUUCUCACGCUGCCCUGCCAGGAGGAGGCAGGGGCUGCACAAGGAGCUGGGAGAGAAGGGAACCAGGCCAGCUGACCCAGACUGGCCAAAGGGACGUCCUGCACCAUGUAGUGUCAUGGUCCACUGCAACUUUAAACCUUUUGAAUGACUAAGGCCUUGGGGAAAGGAUGUGAUGUACAAUGAGCAGCCCUGAUUCCCUAGGGCCCGGUGUGACAGUGCACCCGCUUCUGUCUGGCAGCCGAGACAAUCACCAGAUUGCUGUGCUGGGAGGACAGUCUGCACAGGAGAGGCAGGAACAUCUUUCCUUUGGCUAUGAUCAGUUGCCUAAGAAAUGCCAAGCCUGUUCUGGGAGGCUUUUGGACCAAAAUUCAAAGUCCUUGUUCCAUUUCAGCUGCAGAACUGAAGUGUGUCCUGUGACCUGUUGCAAUUAUUGCUAUUAACAAUCUUUUACAUGCUCUGUGCAGAUGCUUUAUGGAUCUCCCUGCACCCAGGUAGGGACAGGUCAAAUGCAGAACUGAUGUUAAAUGUUCAAGGUGAGGAAAUUAACAUGCUUGUUUUCAUUUUAUUCUAUUAGUACCAGUGUUUCUUAAACUUAGAUGUGAGACUGAAAUCUGAUUUAAAAUAAGCAUUUUAGCCAGUUUGGAAAAUGUAAAUGUAUAAUGAAUAGGUAUGAUAUAUGUAACUGCAGUGCUACAGAGCAGAAUAGGUAUGAAUAGAUAUUUUAAUAUCUUGUGUGGCUUCUAUGCCAAGAAGCUUGGUGGUUUUGACCUCCUGCCUUUCCAAGGUGCCCUUAGCACCCUGUAGAAGUUUAGAUUUGCAACGUGCUUAAGCAUGCACUAUAGAUCUUAAAUUGAAUUUUAUUUCUCACUUUCUGUGCCUGUACCUCAACACACAGCUAUCAAAAUUGUGUUAGCACUCUUUUUGGAAAGCAAUAUUGCAGGAGUAAUUUUCUGAAGCUUAGUGAGAAGAAAAGUACAGGUCUUCAUCUUUACAGCUUGGCAUUGUAAAAUUGUUGCUAAAAUACCCAUUUAAAAAGGAAAUCCUGCUAGCUGAGGCUCAAACUAGCUAUACCAAUGCAAGCAAUUUAAAUUGUUAUACUUUCUAGUAAAGAUUAUUCUUGCUGCUUCUAUAUGAAAACAUUAUUUCUUUGAGUUUCUAAAUAUAUUUGGACAAGGCUUGGGAAUGAUACCUGAUGCCCAAUUUUAUAUCCUAGUGCUAGUGCGUUAUUUGUAUUAAUACACAGAGGAGGACCAACUUCUCUUCUGUAGUCAGUCUUGUCCCUGCUCUGUAUGUGAAGCCUGGUAGCUUGCUAAGGAAAAUGGCAAACUUCCAGAGCCUCCCAGCCAGGGCCGUCACUGUUGACAUUUUGGUACAGUGAGGGAAGAAGCAGGGUUCCUUUGCUCUCGGGAGGAAACUUUAUCCCUUUCUAGAGCAAGAGAGACUCUCAGGGAGCAUCUAAGUGACAAGAUGAAGGUCAUGCACAGGAAAUGUGGGGACACAGCUGUCCUGCCUCCUCAGCUAGCAGUGGAACAAACUGGAGUCUUCACUUCUCUUCAAAAACAACUCAUGCUUAGUUCUCUUGGAUUUGAAAAAUAUUAUUAUAAUAUAUUAUGCUCCAGACUUGAAGAUUGGCUGGAAGAAUCAGUCUUCCUGAUUCCUCAGCCUGUCUGUCAGGGAGCAGUGGGGCUGAGGCUGCCCCUCAGGGCAAGGGGAGCUGGGAAUGAAGGUGAAGCAAGGUUGGCAGGACUGCUCCCU